Gavialis gangeticus (Gharial) is the source of this 269-nucleotide long non-coding RNA. RefSeq lists it as uncharacterized. The transcript has 4 exons. The record is from RefSeq and is a predicted model, not a curated record. NCBI's taxonomy places the organism in Eukaryota, Metazoa, Chordata, Crocodylia, Gavialidae.
GAUAUGAUAAACUUUGGUGUUGAAGCAAGGUAGAAAGGGUAAUAGUUUGAAUUAAAGGCAGACCUGGUAGCAUGCCACCUAUUACUAAAGGUUGCCAGACAUUUCCUAUUAUAAGGCCUUACUUUCAGUUGCUCACCAGUGCUAAACUUCAACAAAUCAGAGUUAUAGCUAAUGUGUUGCAUAUCUUCCUCUGGCUGCAAGGUUUUGGAAGAAUUCAGCCAAAAUAACUCAGCUUCUCCUGGGCAGAAAGGUAGGGGAAAACAAACUGU